Molecule: ribosomal RNA, 514 nt
Filed under: uncultured bacterium
Lineage: Bacteria
Description: partial 16S ribosomal RNA
Rfam family: Bacterial small subunit ribosomal RNA
Source: RNAcentral
GAUGAACGCUGGCGGCGUGCCUAAUACAUGCAAGUCGAGCGAACAGAUGAGAAGCUUGCUUCUCUGAUGUUAGCGGCGGACGGGUGAGUAACACGUGGGUAACCUACCUAUAAGACUGGGAUAACUCCGGGAAACCGGGGCUAAUACCGGAUAAUAUUUUGAACCGCAUGGUUCAAUAGUGAAAGACGGUUUCGGCUGUCACUUAUAGAUGGACCCGCGCCGUAUUAGCUAGUUGGUAAGGUAACGGCUUACCUAGGCGACGGUACGUAGCCGACCUGAGAGGGUGAUCGGCCACACUGGAACUGAGACACGGUCCAGACUCCUACGGGAGGCAGCAGUAGGGAAUCUUCCGCAAUGGGCGAAAGCCUGACGGAGCAACGCCGCGUGAGUGAUGAAGGUCUUCGGAUCGUAAAACUCUGUUGUUAGGGAAGAACAAAUUUGUUAGUAACUGAACAAGUCUUGACGGUACCUAACCAGAAAGCCACGGCUAACUACGUGCCAGCCGCCGCAGUAA